GGUGCAGUGGGUCGGCGGGCACGCCCUGACGUUACCCGCUGCACACGGGGGAAGUCCCGCCCCCGGGACGGUUCGAUGCCGAUCCGCACUCC
This 92-nucleotide transfer RNA is filed under the name Streptomyces albiflavescens. RNAcentral describes it as "tRNA-Gly". The record is from RNAcentral. Lineage: Bacteria; Bacillati; Actinomycetota; Actinomycetes; Kitasatosporales; Streptomycetaceae.